This 522-nucleotide long non-coding RNA is filed under the name Ananas comosus (pineapple). RNAcentral describes it as "long non-coding RNA (ACOM_LNC006246)". Lineage: Eukaryota; Viridiplantae; Streptophyta; Magnoliopsida; Poales; Bromeliaceae. The record is from RNAcentral.
AAAUAAAAGGAAUAAUAUCUAAUAUAUAAUCCUCAAAAAAUUUCAAAUACCUUAUAUAUCUCUAUUUUUUUAUUUCAAAUAUAUCCCUCAUAUAUAUAUUUCUCCGUUAUUAAAACAUAACUCCGCUAUUAGUACCCAUUAAUAAGUCAUCUUAGUUUAAGCCCAGAUUAAAUUUUUAUCAGAGUUAAAAAAAAAUCAAAAUAUCUCUUUUGUAUUUAACUUAAGGGCAAAUAAAAAAAAAUAGUGAUAGUAACAGAAUAUAUUUGAAAAAGUAAAAAGUCAAAAUACUUAUUUUGUCCAUAACUUAAGAAGAAAUAAGAAAAAUUUGCUGACGGUAAAAAGACAUAUUUAAAAAGACAAAAUAGUAAUUUCAUGAAAAUAACGAUUGUUCCAUUUGACAUAAUAACUUACAAUAUUAAAAAAAUAUAUUUUUAAUAUUAGCCCUUAAGAAAGUUAAAAUUUUUUUAAAAGUAUAUAAGUAAUUGAAACAAAAUAAAAAAGAGGGGGAAAAAAAAUAAAAGG